GUGGUAUAUGUCCUGUCAGGUGGUUGAAGCUGAAAUUGACUGAAAGAAGGACUUUCAAAUGACCGAUAUCGAGGGGUAACUCGAAGACACUUGGAUCGAGAUGGGCUUCCGCCGUUUCUGACUUCAGCAUAUGCAUAUCCAUCAGUGCUGUUGGAAUUUCCCCGGUAUUUUUCCCGACAAUGAGCAGUCUCCCAUACCAAGAACACGGAGAUUCUGAAAACCAUCAAGUGUCUCAUCCUCUGGCAUGAGCUCUCCUCUGAAAUUUUCCCCGAGAAGCAGGGUGGUUAGAGAAAUCGACCUCGGGGAGCCCUCCACUGAAUUUGUUGCUCGAGAGGACAAUUACUACAAGGAAAGAGAAGCCGGGCGGGCAUCCCAGAAAGAAAAGAAACAGUUGGUGAAGAAGUGAAGAUUUUGCAAAGAUUCUACGGGCGAGAUAACACGCCACGCCGGGAUUGGAAGAUGGUGCCGAAAGGCGGUCGCGAUGGAGAGCAAUCAUGGUGGUCUCAGUCAGUUGUGUAGACAAAGGCCAAGUGGAGGGCCUAGGUGUAGGUGUAGGAGUAGGAAGGGAGGCGCAGUUUCCUGGCUUGAUGCAUGGCUUAAUGGACGGGGUGGUUGAUUGAUCCGUGCGGUCUCCUUGUUGACCUGGGGGGCGUUUACUUGCCCUUGUCACGCUCACGCGUGCGUGCGAGCUUCGUCUGAUGUUUACGUUUGCUUUCUUUUUCCAAUCUCCCGGCUCCACUGGCGCACUAUUAUUGCGGACCAUGGACUGUGACGCUUUGUGGCUGUCAUCUGAAAUCUCAAGCGGUUCAAGUAACUUUGGGGUAGCGUGUGAGGGCUGUCAAUGGUGAUGCUAAGUACAGUUUUGUAUCUUCUACUCCUACUAGUAGAAUGCCCAUACGGUUGUUACGAGAUUGUAUAACAAUAUCGUUCUAGUUCUAUUAUUUUGUUUACUUUGUUUCA
This is a long non-coding RNA of Hordeum vulgare subsp. vulgare (domesticated barley), 960 nucleotides long. RefSeq lists it as uncharacterized. NCBI's taxonomy places the organism in Eukaryota, Viridiplantae, Streptophyta, Magnoliopsida, Poales, Poaceae. The record is from RefSeq and is a predicted model, not a curated record. The transcript is spliced from 5 exons.